This 397-nucleotide ribosomal RNA is filed under the name uncultured bacterium. Its description in RNAcentral is "partial 16S ribosomal RNA". It matches the Rfam family "Bacterial small subunit ribosomal RNA", at positions 523 to 918 of the family's 1533-position model. The record is from RNAcentral.
AUACGUAGGGGGCGAGCGUUGUCCGGAAUGAUUGGGCGUAAAGGGCGCGUAGGCGGCCCGGUAAGUCUGGAGUGAAAGUCCUGCUUUUAAGGUGGGAAUUGCUUUGGAUACUGUCGGGCUUGAGUGCAGGAGAGGUAAGUGGAAUUCCCAGUGUAGCGGUGAAAUGCGGAGAGAUUGGGAGGAACACCAGUGGCGAAGGCGACUUACUGGACUGUAACUGACGCUGAGGCGCGAAAGUGUGGGGAGCAAACAGGAUUAGAUACCCUGGUAGUCCACACUGUAAACGAUGAAUGCUAGGUGUAGGGGGUAUCGACCCCUUCUGUGCCGCAGUUAACACAAUAAGCAUUCCGCCUGGGGAGUACGGCCGCAAGGUUGAAACUCAAAGGAAUUGACGGGG